Molecule: long non-coding RNA, 132 nt
Organism: Etheostoma spectabile (orangethroat darter)
Lineage: Eukaryota; Metazoa; Chordata; Actinopteri; Perciformes; Percidae
Exons: 3
Source: RefSeq, a predicted model, not a curated record
ACGUUACAUUUUGAGAGGUGCAUGUCAGGCUACGGCUUAGGGUCCGGCGUAGGUUUGUGUCUCCAUGUACCUACAUACGUAGCUACAGCAUAGAUUUUACGCAGAAGUAUAAAUCGCGCUUGACUGUGCAGC